AGAUUGAACGCUGGCGGCAGGCCUAACACAUGCAAGUCGAGCGGCAGCACGGGUACUUGUACCUGGUGGCGAGCGGCGGACGGGUGAGUAAUGCCUAGGAAUCUGCCUGGUAGUGGGGGAUAACGCUCGGAAACGGACGCUAAUACCGCAUACGUCCUACGGGAGAAAGCGAGGGGACCUUCGGGCCUUGCGCUAUCAGAUGAGCCUAGGUCGGAUUAGCUAGUUGGUGAGGUAAUGGCUCACCAAGGCGACGAUCCGUAACUGGUCUGAGAGGAUGAUCAGUCAACACUGGAACUGAGACACGGUCCAGACCUCCGUAGGGAGCAGCGAGUGGGGAAUAUUGGACAAGUGGGACGAAAGCUGAUCCAGCCAUCGCGCGUGUGUAGAAGAGUCGUACGUAGUUAGUAAAGUCGUAACGUUUAAGUUAGGGAGG
RNAcentral lists this ribosomal RNA (433 nucleotides) under uncultured soil bacterium. RNAcentral describes it as "bacterial SSU rRNA". It matches the Rfam family "Bacterial small subunit ribosomal RNA", at positions 26 to 447 of the family's 1533-position model. The record is from RNAcentral.